Molecule: transfer RNA, 77 nt
Filed under: Candidatus Bathyarchaeota archaeon
Lineage: Archaea; Thermoproteati; Candidatus Bathyarchaeota
Description: tRNA-Met
Rfam family: tRNA
About the family: Transfer RNA (tRNA) molecules are approximately 80 nucleotides in length. Their secondary structure includes four short double-helical elements and three loops (D, anti-codon, and T loops).
Source: RNAcentral
UGCGGGAUGGAGCAGUCUGGUCUACCUCCGAGGCCUCAUAAGCCUUUGUUUCGUGGGUUCGAAUCCCACUCCCGCAA